Nanorana parkeri is the source of this 855-nucleotide long non-coding RNA. RefSeq lists it as uncharacterized. The record is from RefSeq and is a predicted model, not a curated record. The transcript is spliced from 3 exons. Lineage: Eukaryota; Metazoa; Chordata; Amphibia; Anura; Dicroglossidae.
UUGAUUUCAUAGGUGGCUUUGACUCCUAUGGCUACCAGGGUCCUCAGAAGACAUCUCACUUACAGCUGCAGCCCAUGUAUAUGACCCCUCUAAAUUUGUGAGCUGAUAGAGGAGUAAAUACUUAGGUCAAAGUAACAAAGGCAUCAAUGUAGAAGUUUAAAGGAGCAUUCGCAUCAAUUGCUUCCUGGAAACAUUCCCUUGGAUUGUAUGAAGAGGACAAGAAAGUAUACGUGAUUGUAUUUUCUUCUCCUUGGAUCAGAAUGAAGCUAGUUCUCACAAUACACAAGUGGAUGUAUUUGCGGUUGCAAAUAUUGCAGUCCCAGGAAGAUGGAAAACUGUCUUAUUACUGGUGCUUUGGUGCCCUCUACUGGAAGUCUCUCUGCUUAUCCUUCUUUUUGCACUGGUAGCUCUAACUCAGCCACUUUGAGUUACAAUAUGAUGUUUGCACAGACAGAAAUUACAUAAAAGAGACUUCGGUGUUAUGAUCAAUCUGGACAUCAAAGACUGUGAAUUAAACUAAAAGUGCCAUAAAUGCCGCCUGAGUUUGAGGCAGUGGGACAUAUUAGGUUUGUUUUGCAGGCAGCCACAUCACGUGCCUGUAUUUUGCCUUAACCCAGCCAAAAUGUGAUUGUCAGAGAAGGCAGUUCUGCAAGGAGAGUCACCCCUGAGGACUUGCUGUAGGACUUUGAUCACCUUGCAAAGGCUUCUACCAUCUGCAUCCUCUUUGCUGCUUUGGGGAUCUAACUAUCUGAUUGGACAACACAUUUUAUAGGAACUCUCUAUAGCAUCACACCUCCAAACAUAAUCUAGCAGUUCGGUGGCUCAGAAGUAUUGCCUUUAAGUUUAUUCUAUUAA